GUGAGGAAUAUUGGUCAAUGGGCGCAAGCCUGAACCAGCCAUCCCGCGUGCAGGAAGACGGCCCUAUGGGUUGUAAACUGCUUUUCCGGGGGGAGAAUUUUUCCGUCGUGACGGGAAUUGACGGUACCCCGGGAAUAAGCAUCGGCUAACUCCGUGCCAGCAGCCGCGGUAAUACGGAGGAUGCGAGCGUUCUCCGGAUUUACUGGGUUUAAAGGGUGCGUAGGCGGAAUGAUAAGUCAGUGGUGAAAACCUGCAGCUUAACUGUAGACUUGCCGUUGAUACUGUCAGUCUUGAGUGUGGUCAAGGUAGGCGGAAUGUGUAAUGUAGCGGUGAAAUGCUUAGAUAUUACACAGAACACCGAUUGCGAAGGCAGCUUACUGGGCCAUUACUGACGCUGAUGCACGAAAGCGUGGGGAUCGAACAGGAUUAGAAACCCGAGUAGUCC
Molecule: ribosomal RNA, 445 nt
Filed under: uncultured bacterium
Lineage: Bacteria
Description: partial 16S ribosomal RNA
Rfam family: Bacterial small subunit ribosomal RNA
Source: RNAcentral